This 450-nucleotide ribosomal RNA is filed under the name uncultured bacterium. Its description in RNAcentral is "bacterial SSU rRNA". It matches the Rfam family "Bacterial small subunit ribosomal RNA", at positions 29 to 525 of the family's 1533-position model. The record is from RNAcentral.
AACGAACGCUGGCGGCAGGCCUAACACAUGCAAGUCGAGCGCACCCUUCGGGGUGAGCGGCGGACGGGUUAGUAACGCGUGGGAACGUGCCCAGAUCUGCGGAAUAGCCACUGGAAACGGUGAGUAAUACCGCAUACGCCCUUCGGGGGAAAGAUUUAUCGGAUUUGGAUCGGCCCGCGUUAGAUUAGGUAGUUGGUGGGGUAACGGCCUACCAAGCCUACGAUCUAUAGCUGGUUUUAGAGGAUGAUCAGCAACACUGGGACUGAGACACGGCCCAGACUCCUACGGGAGGCAGCAGUGGGGAAUCUUGGACAAUGGGGCAACCCUGAUCCAGCCAUGCCGCGUGAGUGAUGAAGGCCUUAGGGUCGUAAAGCUCUUUCGCCUGUGAAGAUAAUGACGGUAGCAGGUAAAGAAACCCCGGCUAACUCCGUGCCAGCAGCCGCGGUAAUU